Molecule: ribosomal RNA, 253 nt
Filed under: uncultured bacterium
Lineage: Bacteria
Description: partial 16S ribosomal RNA
Rfam family: Bacterial small subunit ribosomal RNA
Source: RNAcentral
UACAGAGGUCCCAAGCGUUGUUCGGAUUCACUGGGCGUAAAGGGUGCGUAGGUGGUGAGGUAAGUCGGAUGUGAAAUCUCCGGGCUCAACCCGGAAAUGGCAUUGGAAACUACCUUGCUAGAGGAUUUGAGGGGGGAUUGGAAUACUCGGUGUAGCAGUGAAAUGCGUAGAUAUCAAGUGGAACACCAGUGGCGAAGGCGAAUCCCUGGAAAAUACCUGACACUGAGGCACGAAAGCUAGGGGAGCAAACAGG